CAGACACCAAACCAAAUCUUCUCCAGUUAACUCUUUUGGGAAAAGAACUGGAUGAGUAUCUGCUUGAGAACAAUCCUUGGAGGAUAAAGUGGUGGAUUCAGGCUAAAAGGGGCAGAUAUUCCACAGCACAUUGUGACUUCUGUGCUUGUGGGCGAAAGGUGUGUGGAAGAAAAGAAAGAAGGAGGUCAAGGUUGUAUGGUGAAAUGAUAUUCUGGAUGUUUAUCCUGGAGUUUGUGUUUGAUUUGGGGAUUCCUGAAGUAUCUAUUACUCUUAUCUUCCCCCAGUGACUGGGAUCAGGUUUCCCACAGCUUGGAAGGAGUGGGGAUGACAACAACAACAACAACAACAACUUGUAGAGCAAAUGGCCUUUCCUGGUGCUUUGCGUUCUAAUGUGCAUCUCUUCAGUUGGACAAGUUUUGCUACUGGGCAAAGAUCGUUAAAAGAACGGUGCAGUCUGACAGACUUGUGAGAGGAGAGAGAUUUAGUUUGCAGUGUCUUCAUUCUGCUCGUGGACAAAUAAGAUAUGUGGGUGGCGAUAAACGUGUUCACUGGAAAAAAAACCUUUUGAGAAAGAGGAGAGACAGACAGACAGACAGA
Callorhinchus milii (elephant shark) is the source of this 597-nucleotide long non-coding RNA. RefSeq lists it as uncharacterized. Lineage: Eukaryota; Metazoa; Chordata; Chondrichthyes; Chimaeriformes; Callorhinchidae. The record is from RefSeq and is a predicted model, not a curated record. The transcript has 4 exons.